This 1751-nucleotide non-coding RNA is filed under the name Sphingobium sp. C100. Its description in RNAcentral is "Bacterial large subunit ribosomal RNA". It matches the Rfam family "Bacterial large subunit ribosomal RNA", at positions 1 to 1747 of the family's 2925-position model. Lineage: Bacteria; Pseudomonadati; Pseudomonadota; Alphaproteobacteria; Sphingomonadales; Sphingobiaceae. The record is from Rfam by way of RNAcentral.
GGUUAAGUUAGAAAGGGCGCACGGUGGAUGCCUUGGCACUAGGAGCCGAUGAAGGACGGGACGAACACCGAUAUGCUUCGGGGAGCUGUAAGCAAGCUUUGAUCCGGAGAUUUCCGAAUGGGGAAACCCACUGCUCGUAAUGGAGUAGUAUCCAUACUUGAAUACAUAGAGUAUGAGAAGGCAUACCCGGGGAACUGAAACAUCUAAGUACCCGGAGGAAGAGAAAGCAAAUGCGAUUCCCUGAGUAGCGGCGAGCGAAACGGGAACAGCCCAAACCAAGAGGCUUGCCUCUUGGGGUUGUAGGACACUCUAUACGGAGUUACAAAGGAAUGAUAUAAGCGAAGAGGUCUGGAAAGGCCCGCCAAAGAAGGUAACAGCCCUGUAACUGAAAUGUUGUUCUCUCCAGAGUGGAUCCUGAGUACGGCGGAACACGUGAAAUUCCGUCGGAAUCCGGGAGGACCAUCUCCCAAGGCUAAAUACUCCCUAGUGACCGAUAGUGAACCAGUACCGUGAGGGAAAGGUGAAAAGCACCCCGGAAGGGGAGUGAAAUAGAUCCUGAAACCGUGUGCCUACAAGUAGUCAGAGCCCGUUAACGGGUGAUGGCGUGCCUUUUGUAGAAUGAACCGGCGAGUUACGAUCCCGUGCAAGGUUAAGCAGAAGAUGCGGAGCCGCAGCGAAAGCGAGUCUGAAUAGGGCGCAUGAGUACGUGGUCGUAGACCCGAAACCAGGUGAUCUACCCAUGUCCAGGGUGAAGUUCAGGUAACACUGAAUGGAGGCCCGAACCCACGCACGUUGAAAAGUGCGGGGAUGAGGUGUGGGUAGGGGUGAAAUGCCAAUCGAACCUGGAGAUAGCUGGUUCUCUCCGAAAUAGCUUUAGGGCUAGCCUCAAGGUAAGAGUCUCGGAGGUAGAGCACUGAUUGGACUAGGGGCCCCUACCGGGUUACCGAAUUCAGUCAAACUCCGAAUGCCGAUGACUUAUCCUUGGGAGUCAGACUGCGAGUGAUAAGAUCCGUAGUCGAAAGGGAAACAGCCCAGACCGCCAGCUAAGGUCCCAAAGUAUACGUUAAGUGGAAAAGGAUGUGGAGUUGCUUAGACAACCAGGAUGUUGGCUUAGAAGCAGCCACCAUUUAAAGAGUGCGUAAUAGCUCACUGGUCGAGUGACUCUGCGCCGAAAAUGUACCGGGGCUAAACGUAUCACCGAAGCUGCGGACUGUUCUUACGAACAGUGGUAGGAGAGCGUUCUAAGGGCUGUGAAGCCAGACCGGAAGGACUGGUGGAGCGCUUAGAAGUGAGAAUGCCGGUAUGAGUAGCGAAAGACGGGUGAGAAUCCCGUCCACCGAAUGCCUAAGGUUUCCUGAGGAAGGCUCGUCCGCUCAGGGUUAGUCGGGACCUAAGCCGAGGCCGAAAGGCGUAGGCGAUGGACAACAGGUUGAUAUUCCUGUACCACCUCCUCACCAUUUGAGCAAUGGGGGGACGCAGGAGGAUAGGGUAAGCGCGGUAUUGGAUAUCCGCGUCCAAGCAGUUAGGCUGGGAAAUAGGCAAAUCCGUUUCCCGUAAAGGCUGAGCUGUGAUGGCGAGCGAAAUUUAGUAGCGAAGUUCCUGAUUCCACACUGCCAAGAAAAGCCUCUAGCGAGGUGAGAGGUGCCCGUACCGCAAACCGACACAGGUAGGCGAGGAGAGAAUCCUAAGGUGAUCGAGAGAACUCUCGUUAAGGAACUCGGCAAAAUGGCCCCGUAACUUCGGGAGAAGGG